GCUUAGCCCUAAACUUAGAUGUAGCACUUACAAAAACAUCCGCCAGGGUACUACAAGCGCAAGCUUAAAACCCAAAGGACUUGACGGUGUCUCACCCACCUAGAGGAGCCUGUUCUAUAACCGAUAAUCCCCGUUAAACCUCACCACCCCUUGUAUACCCAGCCUAUAUAUCGCCGUCGUAAGCUUACCCUGUGAAGGCCUAAAAGUAAGCAAAAUGAGCACACCCCAGAACGUCAGGUCGAGGUGUAGCCAAUGGAGUGGGAAGAAAUGGGCUACAUUUUCUAAUUUAGAAAAUACGGACAGUGCCAUGAAAUCUGGCGCUUGAAGGUGGAUUUAGUAGUAAAAAAUUAAUAGAGCGAUUUUUUGAAUCAGGCCAUGAGACGCGU
Molecule: ribosomal RNA, 386 nt
Filed under: Aphyocharax anisitsi (bloodfin tetra)
Lineage: Eukaryota; Metazoa; Chordata; Actinopteri; Characiformes; Characidae
Description: partial 12S ribosomal RNA
Rfam family: Bacterial small subunit ribosomal RNA
Source: RNAcentral